RNAcentral lists this ribosomal RNA (253 nucleotides) under uncultured bacterium. RNAcentral describes it as "partial 16S ribosomal RNA". It matches the Rfam family "Bacterial small subunit ribosomal RNA", at positions 524 to 776 of the family's 1533-position model. The record is from RNAcentral.
UACAGAGGUCCCGAGCGUUGUUCGGAUUUAUUGGGCGUAAAGGGUGCGUAGGCGGCGGAGUAAGUUGGGUGUGAAAUCCCGGGGCUUAACCUCGGAAUUGCAUUCAAUACUGCUUCGCUAGAGUACUGGAGAGGAGGCUGGAAUUUACGGUGUAGCAGUGAAAUGCGUAGAUAUCGUAAGGAAGGCCGGUGGCGAAGGCGAGCCUCUGGACAGUUACUGACGCUGAUGCACGAAGGCCAGGGGAGCAAACGGG